Molecule: transfer RNA, 75 nt
Filed under: Rickettsiales bacterium
Lineage: Bacteria; Pseudomonadati; Pseudomonadota; Alphaproteobacteria; Rickettsiales
Description: tRNA-Phe
Rfam family: tRNA
About the family: Transfer RNA (tRNA) molecules are approximately 80 nucleotides in length.
Source: RNAcentral
GCCGGAGUAGCUCAGUGGUAGAGCAAAGGACUGAAAAUCCUUGUGUCGGCAGUUCGAUCCUGCCCUUCGGCACCA